UAUACAUGCAAGUCGAACGAUGAAGUUCCUUCGGGAAUGGAUUAGUGGCGAACGGGUGAGGAACACGUGAGAAACCUGCCUUUCAUUCUGGGAUAACACCGGGAAACCGGUGCUAAUACCGGAUACUCCAUCUUGGCGGCAUCGCCGAGCUGGGAAAAAAUUUUGAUGAAAGAUGGUCUCGCGGCCUAUCAGCUAGUUGGUGAGGUAAAGGCUCACCAAGGCGACGACGGGUAGCCGGCCUGAGAGGGCGACCGGCCACACUGGGACUGAGACACGGCCCAGACUCCUACGGGAGGCAGCAGUAGGGAAUAUUGGGCAAUGGGCGAAAGCCUGACCCAGCGACGCCGCGUGAGGGAUGAAGGUCUUCGGAUUGUAAACCUCUUUCAGUAGGGAAGAAGCGAAAGUGACGGUACCUAAAGAAGAAGCACCGGCUAACUAUGUGCCAGCAGCCGCGGUAAUACAUAGGGUGCAAGCGUUGUCCGGAAUUAUUGGGCGUAAAGAGCUCGUAGGUCGUUUGUCGCGUCGAUUGUGAAAAUCUGAGGCUCAACCUCAGACCUGCAGUCGAUACGGGCAAACUAGAGUGUGGUAGGGGAGACUGGAAUUCCUGGUGUAGCGGUGGAAUGCGCAGAUAUCAGGAGGAACACCAAUGGCGAAGGCAGGUCUCUGGGCCAUAACUGACACUGAGGAGCGAAAGUGCGGGGAGCGAACAGGAUUAGAUACCCUGGUAGUCCGCACCGUAAACGGUGGGCACUAGUUGUGGGAACCUUCCACGGUUUCCGCGACGCAGCAAACGCAUUAAGUGCCCCGCCUGGGGAGUACGAUCGCAAGAUUAAAACUCAAAUGAAUUGACG
Molecule: ribosomal RNA, 851 nt
Filed under: uncultured Actinomycetes bacterium
Lineage: Bacteria; Bacillati; Actinomycetota; Actinomycetes
Description: bacterial SSU rRNA
Rfam family: Bacterial small subunit ribosomal RNA
Source: RNAcentral